UUGGAGGGCAAGUCUGGUGCCAGCAGCCGCGGUAAUUCCAGCUCCAAUAGCGUAUAUUAAAGUUGUUGCAGUUAAAAAGCUCGUAGUUGAAUUUCGAGAUCAGUACGCUGGUCGUGCCUUUGGUAUGCACUGGUGUCACUGGUUUCUCCCUUCUGAAGAACUGUCAUGCCAUUCAGUUGGUGUGGCGGGGAAUCAGGACUGUUACUUUGAAAAAAUUAGAGUGUUUAAAGCAGGCUCGCGCUUGAAUACAUUAGCAUGGAAUAGUGAAAUAGGACGUUUGACCCUAUUUUGUUGGUUUCUAGGAUCGACGUAAUGAUUAAUAGGGAUAGUUGGGAGCAUUAGUAUUCAAUUGUCAGAGGUGAAAUUCUUGGAUUUAUUGAAGACUAACUACUGCGAAAGCAUUUGCCAAGGAUGUUUUCAUUAAUCAAGAACGAAAGUUAGGGGAUCGAAGACGAUCAGAUACCGUCGUAGUCUUAACCAUAAACUAUGCCGACUAGGGAUCGGAUGAUGUUAAUUUUUUAAUGACUCAUUCGGCGCCUUACGGGAAACCAAAGUGUUUGGGUUC
Molecule: ribosomal RNA, 565 nt
Filed under: uncultured Glomus
Lineage: Eukaryota; Fungi; Glomeromycota; Glomeromycetes; Glomerales; Glomeraceae
Description: SSU rRNA
Rfam family: Eukaryotic small subunit ribosomal RNA
Source: RNAcentral